RNAcentral lists this ribosomal RNA (463 nucleotides) under Pseudocercospora sp. CPC 11592. Its description in RNAcentral is "eukaryotic LSU rRNA". The stretch from base 135 to 288 matches the Rfam family "5.8S ribosomal RNA". The record is from RNAcentral. Lineage: Eukaryota; Fungi; Ascomycota; Dothideomycetes; Mycosphaerellales; Mycosphaerellaceae.
GCCUCGGGCCGACCUCCAACCCCCUGUGGACCCAACUUGUUGCUUCGGGGGCGACCCUACCGUUCCGGCGGCGGGCGCCCCCGGAGGCCUUCAAACCCCGCGUCCCUGCGUCGGAGUCUGAGUAAAUUGAACAAAACUUUCAACAACGGAUCUCUUGGUUCUGGCAUCGAUGAAGAACGCAGCGAAAUGCGAUAAGUAAUGUGAAUUGCAGAAUUCAGUGAAUCAUCGAAUCUUUGAACGCACAUUGCGCCCUCUGGUAUUCCGGAGGGCAUGCCUGUUCGAGCGUCAUGUCACCACUCAAGCCUCGCUUGGUAUUGGGCGCCGCGGUCACCCCGCGCGCCUCAAAGUCCCCCGGCCGAGCCGCCCGUCCCCGAGCGUUGUGAUUCUAUGAAUCGCUCCGGGGCGCGGGCGGCCGCGGCCGUUAAAUCUUUUGCACAGGUUGACCUCGGAUCAGGUAGGGAUA